UACAGAGGGUGCAAACGUUGCUCGGAAUUAUUGGGCGUAAAGCGCGUGUAGGCGGCUUGUUAAGUUGGUUGUGAAAACCCAUGGCUCAACCAUGGAAGGGCGUCCAAAACUGGCAAGCUAGAGUCCCGACGAGGAUGGCGGAAUUCCCAGUGUAGAGGUGAAAUUCGUAGAUAUCGAGAGGAACACCGGUGGCGAAGGCGGCCUUCUGGACAGUGACUGACGCUGAGACGCGAAAGCGUGGGGAGCAAACAGG
Molecule: ribosomal RNA, 253 nt
Filed under: uncultured bacterium
Lineage: Bacteria
Description: partial 16S ribosomal RNA
Rfam family: Bacterial small subunit ribosomal RNA
Source: RNAcentral